GGGGAACAAACGCUACCUAUGAGCCAGGGGGAUCCGUUUGUGGAUUAGACCGACCGCACAUCCUAAUUUCAUGAAACUCUGUCUGGGCAGGUGUCUCGUGUGCGGUCAGACAAAUUAAGACUUCCAUGGAACUCCCGGAUCCCUGAACUGAUCUGGGUGAUUUUUGAAAAUGUUGGUUCCCCAGAUCAGAGCUAUCAGGGGAUAUAACUUGUGGGGUUUCCAUGGAGUUUGGG
Pelobates cultripes (western spadefoot toad) is the source of this 233-nucleotide non-coding RNA. Lineage: Eukaryota; Metazoa; Chordata; Amphibia; Anura; Pelobatidae. The record is from the annotation of a GenBank genome assembly.